CGUCUCGAAAAUCCCAUAAACUCACGGGAUAUUCACAAAGAGAUCAAGAAGUGGCCGGAUAAUUCGUGAUUAUCAAAUACUUCAAGAAGAUCCACAACAUACUUUAUGGAUAUCAAAUAAAUUCAUGAAAAUCCGCAACAUCCUACGUCCGAGAAACAUGAUGCUCUAGACCUCGAUUCAUGGAGAUAAUCAGGAGAGAAGAAUCAAAGGAACAAAGAGAAUUGUACCCGCAUCAUUUUAUCAAUAAAAUUAUAUUUAUUUAUAUUUA
Molecule: long non-coding RNA, 268 nt
Filed under: Nicotiana benthamiana
Lineage: Eukaryota; Viridiplantae; Streptophyta; Magnoliopsida; Solanales; Solanaceae
Description: long non-coding RNA (NBEN_LNC021119)
Source: RNAcentral